RNAcentral lists this ribosomal RNA (301 nucleotides) under uncultured bacterium. Its description in RNAcentral is "partial 16S ribosomal RNA". It matches the Rfam family "Bacterial small subunit ribosomal RNA", at positions 509 to 809 of the family's 1533-position model. The record is from RNAcentral.
CAGUAGCCGGUAAUACAGAGGGUGCGAGCGUUAAUCGGAUUUACUGGGCGUAAAGCGUGCGUAGGCGGCUUUUUAAGUCGGAUGUGAAAUCCCUGAGCUUAACUUAGGAAUUGCAUUCGAUACUGGGAAGCUAGAGUAUGGGAGAGGAUGGUAGAAUUCCAGGUGUAGCGGUGAAAUGCGUAGAGAUCUGGAGGAAUACCGAUGGCGAAGGCAGCCAUCUGGCCUAAUACUGACGCUGAGGUACGAAAGCAUGGGGAGCAAACAGGAUUAGAGACCCGCGUAGUCCCUGUCUCUUAUACAC